UACGUAGGGGGCAAGCGUUGUCCGGAAUCAUUGGGCGUAAAGCGAGCGUAGGCGGCCCGAUAAGUCUGCUGUAAAAGUCAACGGCUCAACCGUUGAAAGCCGGUGGAUACUGUCGGGCUAGAGUUCGGAAGAGGCAAGUGGAAUUCCUGGUGUAGCGGUGGAAUGCGCAGAUAUCAGGAGGAACACCGGUGGCGAAGGCGGAUCUCUGGGCCAUUACUGACGCUGAGGAGCGAAAGCGUGGGGAGCGAACAGG
RNAcentral lists this ribosomal RNA (253 nucleotides) under uncultured bacterium. Its description in RNAcentral is "partial 16S ribosomal RNA". It matches the Rfam family "Bacterial small subunit ribosomal RNA", at positions 524 to 776 of the family's 1533-position model. The record is from RNAcentral.